Malaclemys terrapin pileata is the source of this 1633-nucleotide long non-coding RNA. RefSeq lists it as uncharacterized. The transcript is spliced from 4 exons. The record is from RefSeq and is a predicted model, not a curated record. NCBI's taxonomy places the organism in Eukaryota, Metazoa, Chordata, Testudines, Emydidae.
AGUAGACGAACCAUUCCCGUUGUGUGGUUUGAUGAGCUACUGUCAACACAAUAUCCUGCAAUAUGAAACAUGCCUUGGAGAAAGAGAAGAACAGUUGUUCUCAACCAGGGGUACAUGUAUCCGGGGGUACGCAGAGGUCUUCCAAGGGGACAUCAACUCAUCUAGACAUUUGCCUUGCUUUACAACAGGCUACAGAAAAAGGAUUAGCGAAGACAGUACAAGCUAAAAUUACAAACAGACAAUGACUUGUUUAUACUGCUCUAUAUAAUAUACACUGAAAUAUUUGGCGUCCAAACUGCCUGCUCUUGAGAGAUGUCUGUGGCCUGCUCCUGGAAGUUAAGAGAAUGGAGGAUGAUAUAGUCUAUGUAUUUUGCUACAGAAAUGUCCUUCCAGUGAUCAAUAGCCAUAGCUAAUGGAAAGAUUAUUUCAGUUGUCCCUUUGACACAUGGACAGUUUCAGAUGAUGACCCAGCACAUGUUCAUUUUAAGAACCCUUUCACAGCUGAUUUGACAACAUGCACAGAAGGUACUGAUGUGAGAUUUCUAAAAAUAGCUACAUCACUCAACCCAAGGUUUAAGAAUCUGAAGUGCCAUCCAAAAUCUGAGAAGGACGAGGUGUGGAGCAUGCUUUUAGAAAUCUUAAAAGAGCAACACUCUGAUGCAGAAACUACAGAACUCAAACCACCAAAAAAGAAAAUCAACCUUCUGCUGGUAGCAUCUGACUCUCAUGAUGAAAAUGAACAUGCGUCAGUUCACACUGUUUGAAUAGUUAUCAACAGGGGCAGUUCUAUGUUUUUUUGCUACUCCAAGCACGGCAGGCAGGCGGCUUUCGGUGGCGUGCCUGCGGGCGGUCCACUGGUCACGUGGAUUCGGUGGCAUGCCUGUGGGAGGUCUGCCAGUGCCACGCCAUCUGCAUCCCCGCUGCCAAAUUGCCACUGAAGCCGCGGGACUGGCGGACCUCCUGCAGGCAUGUCACCAAAAGCUGCCUGCCUGCUGCCCUCACAGCAACCGGCAGGCCGCCUCCCGCGGCUUGCCGCCCUAGGCACGUGCUCGCUGCGGUGGUGCCUGGAGCUGCCCCUGGUUAUCAAGCAGUACCUAUCAUCAGCAUGGACGCAUAUCCUUUGGAAUGGUGGUUGAAGCAUGAAGGGACAUAUGAAUCUUUAGCGCAUCUGGCACGUAAAUAUCUUGCAACGCCAGCUACAACAGUGCUAUGCAAAUGCCUGUUCUCACUUUCAGGUGACAUUGUAAACAAGAAGCAGGCAGCAUUAUCUCCUGCAAAUUGUAACCAACCUAGUUUGUCUGAAUGAUUGGCUGACCAAGUAGUAGGACUGAGUGGACUUGUAGGCUCUAAAUUUUUACAUUGUUUUAUUUUUGAAUGCCAUUUUUUUUACAUAAUUCUACAUUUGGAAGUUCAACUUUCAUGAUAAAGAGAUUGCACUACAGUACUUGUAUGAGGUGAAUUGAAAAAUACAAUAUUUUUUGUUUUUUUACAGUGCAAAUAUUUGUAAUAGAAAAUAAAUAUAAAGUGAGCACUGUACAUGUUGUACUCUGUGUUGUAAUUGAAACUAAUAUAUUUGAAAAUGUAGUAAACAUCCAAAAAUAUUUAAAAUAAAUGGUAUUCUAUUGCUGUUUAA